This 506-nucleotide ribosomal RNA is filed under the name uncultured bacterium. RNAcentral's name for it is "partial 16S ribosomal RNA". It matches the Rfam family "Bacterial small subunit ribosomal RNA", at positions 30 to 523 of the family's 1533-position model. The record is from RNAcentral.
AUUGAACGCUGGCGGCAGGCCUAACACAUGCAAGUCGAACGGUAACAGGAAGCAGCUUGCUGUUUCGCUGACGAGUGGCGGACGGGUGAGUAAUGUCUGGGAAACUGCCUGAUGGAGGGGGAUAACUACUGGAAACGGUAGCUAAUACCGCAUAACGUCGCAAGACCAAAGAGGGGGACCUUCGGGCCUCUUGCCAUCGGAUGUGCCCAGACGGGAUUAGCUAGUAGGUGGGGUAACGGCUCACCUAGGCGACGAUCCCUAGCUGGUCUGAGAGGAUGACCAGGCACACUGGAACUGAGACACGGUCCAGACUCCUACGGGAGGCAGCAGAGGGGAAUAUUGCACAAUGGGCGCAAGCCUGAUGCAGCCAUGCCGCGUGUAUGAAGAAGGCCUUCGGGUUGUAAAGUACUUUCAGCGGGGAGGAAGGGAGUAAAGUUAAUACUUUUGCUCAUUGACGUUACCCGCAGAAGAAGCACCGGCUAACUCCGUGCCAGCCGCCGCGGUAA